This 406-nucleotide ribosomal RNA is filed under the name uncultured bacterium. RNAcentral's name for it is "partial 16S ribosomal RNA". It matches the Rfam family "Bacterial small subunit ribosomal RNA", at positions 30 to 526 of the family's 1533-position model. The record is from RNAcentral.
AUUGAACGCUGGCGGCAGGCCUAACACAUGCAAGUCGAACGGGGGGCGGACGUGUGAGUAAUGUCUGAGAAACUGCCCGGUGGAGGGGGAUAACUACGAGAAACGGUCUCUAAUACCGCAUACCCUCGUAUGUGCCCAUAUGGGAUUAGCUAGGAGGUGGGGUAACGGCUCACCUAGGCGACGAUCCCUAGCUGGUCUGAGAGGAUGACCAGCCACACUGGGACUGAGACACGGUCCAGACUCCUACGGGAGGCAGCAGUGGGGAAUAUUGCACAAUGGGCGCAAGCCUGAUGCAGCCAUGCCGCGUGUAUGAAGAAGGCCUUCGGGUUGUAAAGCACUUUCAGCGAGGAGGCGUUACCCGCAGAAGAAGCACCGGCUAACUCCGUGCCAGCAGCCGCGGUAAUUC